CUGUGUGCUCAAGCCCUCUCCUGGCGACGCCUGCCCUGACAACUUCUAAAUGGCCAGCCCGCCCCUGGGGAAAAGCAGAGAGGAAUCCUCUUUGGACUCUUGCACCUCAAAGGAAUGGCUAAGAUCAUUCACGGAGAAUGCCAAGUGAAAAGACCAUUGAAAGAAACCAGGGGACAAUAACAUUCAAGGCACAGGCAGAUGAAAAGAUGCUUCAGAAGAAAACUGAGGAGAAGCUGCUCUAAAGGAAAGAGAAGACAGAAGAGGUAGGCACCACAGCAAUCACUGAGAAGAAUCCCCAAAACAAGUAGCAGUCAAACACCAGAUCCAUCACAGGACAAGCAAGGUAAUUUAAGGGUAUCCUCUGACUUAGCAGUAAGGAGAUGGCAAGAAUGGUUUCAGUGGGCUAGUUGAAGAAUAAAGAAGUAGAAACAAAGUAUCACAUUUUCUAAAAUAGAAUUGGAAAGGCAUGUUGGGAGACCAGCUAUAAGGGAGUAGAGAAUGCAAAAGAAGAGAGGAGCUGUUUUUGAAGCAGGAUGGAAGGAGACAGAUGCCAAGGAAAGGGAAGAAAAAAGAGACUGGGGGAGGGAGUGGCAGGGAACUGACAGCAUAGACAGCCGCUGCCUCAUGUUUAACAAAGAAUUUUGCUCAGAGCAGAGGGAGAGGAGGAAAGUGAAGACAUGACAGAGAGGUGAAAGCCUGAAAAGUACAAACAUUAAGAAAUGACUGAAGGACUUUGAGCAGUCCAGGAAACUAAUGAAGAGGAGACCUCGACUUUUAAAGCUCUAAGCCCACAGGAGGGCAUGGUUUCUCUCCAAAGAUUAUCAGCAUCUCAUCCAAAGUAGCAAUACCUUCCAGUUGGUUCCAACAGAAGGUCCAAAUCUCUCCAUUACACCACAAACUGAGUAUCACUAUCCUAAUCAUACAUCUGGAUUCUAGCUCUUUAGCAGUCAACUCAGGAGACUUACCAUGGGACCACAGAAUAUUUCAUAAGUGAGCUUACGCUAGUUUUAAAUAGGCAAGUUCCUACCUUGGAAAACCUGGUUUGACUAAUAUCAAAGGGAGCUCCAUAAUACACAGAACAAGAAGGAGACCAACAACAGCACUGUGUGACAUUUUAGCCACUUGUGAUACCACUCUCUGGGUAAGGAAAACUAUAGAAACAAUAACUCAUGAAGCCAAUUUCUAGCCUUUUGAUUUUUUUUUUUUUUUUUUUUUUUUCCACAUAGGAUCCACAUUUAACAUGUGGCUUGACCUCAUGGCCCUGAGAUUAACAGUUGCAUGUUCUACCAACUGAGCCAGCCAGGUGCCCUUUUAAACAGAACUCUCAAACAAGGCUAAAGACAGUUGUGGCAUUCACAUUCUCCAAUGUCUCCCCCAAGAAUAUCACCCCAAGAACACCUAAUAAAUUUCCCUUUAGUAAAUCAAACUCAAACUUUACAGCUUACUUUAUAUAUUGCAGUUUUUUCCAAAAACACAAGUUGUGUUAUUUACAAGUAAAAUAUGCAUAUAUAAUGCACCUCAUUUAAUGUAGAGGUCGUAUGGAAACCUUGAAUAUCUGGGUCAUAUCAGAGCAUCCCCAAAUAAGCAAACACUCACAUACCACAGAAAUAGAAAGACCCAAAUCCAGGCAUUAAGGACUGUUCUCAUUAUAAACCCCUCAAUUUCUCAUACAGAGCCAGCUUGUUCUAACUGUGAACAUAAUUUUACCGAGUUUGGUCAUCUGGUUUUCUUUUUAAUAAACAGAACAUUAGAAAGAGUAAGGCAGAAGGGAUCAGUAUUCUGUUACAGACAGGCACACAGUUGAUCUAAAACUCAAGAGAAAAAAAUUUUUAAACCCAUAAAGAGCAAAACUAAAUUCAAGGGCAUUGGCAGGACUGGGCCAUUUUGUCAAAUUACAGAGUCCUAUAAACAUUAUCCCCUGAAGGCAUCUCUGCAUUAAGAUACAGAGUAAUUAUGAACAUACAAAAGGACAGCCCAGAAAAGAUAAAAUUAAGUGCUAAAAAUUUAGCAUAAGAUGUAAAUGGGUAAUAUUUAGAAUAACUGUCAUCAAAGAGAGUAGAAUAAAAACAAGUUUUGCUGCUGUGGAGGCUGGGAUCACUUCAAUCGAUUGGAUCCCCAUUAUGUGCCAGGUACUGUACAAGGGGUUUUGCCAAUAUGAUUACAUUUACCUUUCAAAACAUUCUUUUGUGAUUGGUCACCACUUUAAAAAGGAAAUUGUAUAUGAAAACUGAGGCAGACAGAUUAAAUAGCGGAGCAUGACUAGACCCAGGUCUCUGUGAGUUCAAAGCUUUUUAAUAAAAUUUCCAGAUACAGAAAUGUAACUUACAAUUCCAGAUAAAUAAGGCAUUACUAUACCUAAUUAUUCUGCUCUGACCUCCAUUAUACUAUUAAAUUCUUAUAUUAGUUCUUAGCCAUUUGAAAAGCUAACUUUGAUGAUGUCAUUUAUCUUUUAAUUAUUUGGGGGGCCUUUUCAUGGUCUAUAAUCAUAUUUCUCACAAGGAAAUCCAUAAAUACUACUGAGAACCUCAGAGUUGAUAUCUCAUAGCAUUAAUUAAAAAGAAACUUAAAGAUGCCUUAAAAGUAUGAAGCAAUAAGUGCCACUUCCUAAAUGAGUCCUAUGUGUCACACAGUGUGUUAAUAUGCUGUAUAUACAUAUUAUUCAUCUAUACAUUUAUACAUUUGAUACCCACACCUGAUACUGAGGUGUUCACAUAUUUU
This is a long non-coding RNA of Leopardus geoffroyi (Geoffroy's cat), 2718 nucleotides long. RefSeq lists it as uncharacterized. The record is from RefSeq and is a predicted model, not a curated record. NCBI's taxonomy places the organism in Eukaryota, Metazoa, Chordata, Mammalia, Carnivora, Felidae. The transcript is spliced from 3 exons.